Molecule: unclassified non-coding RNA, 1719 nt
Filed under: Hevea brasiliensis (rubber tree)
Lineage: Eukaryota; Viridiplantae; Streptophyta; Magnoliopsida; Malpighiales; Euphorbiaceae
Source: RNAcentral
AACCAUCAUAUCUCUAUCAAAAAAUCAAGAACAAAAUAAAACAUAUGGUAUAUUUACAUUGUGUUUAAGGUAUUAUUACAUCAUCCAUCUAGAUAAACUCAAACUCUUUAAACACCAUCUCAUCACCCCAAAUAAACCCAAAGUUGAAAAUUAUUUGUUUUUUAGAACAAUAAAAGUUAAUCAACAUUUUAAAGAAUAUUCUAGAAAUCGUAAACCUUGAAUUCAACUUUUGGACACUAUAUAAAUAUGUGCAUUAAAGUCAACAGCGGAAGUUUCAAAGGUCUGUGGGGCCCAGCCCAUUAGCUUCGACCACGCGUUCUCCAUAUUUGCCGGCGAACAAAAAGUUUUACCUUUCCACCACGCUUAAUUAAACCCGAGUCAGUAAUUAUAACAUUCUUUAAACCGGAGAUCGAGCCGAGUCAUUUGCCAAUAAACCCGGUUCAUCACCUUUCGGCUCCAGGCAUUGGAAGGACGGCAAUUUUACUGCUACUUUCAUAUUGCUGCGUGAUGUGGAUGCUUCUUCGUUAUCAGCUCUUACUUUUGGUGACUUCAUUGAUGAACCUCUGGUAAAGAAUGGCGGUGCAAUCUUGAGAAACCACCGGUCUGAUUUUGUUUCCGGAUCGAACCGGUCGAUUCGCUUGAAUGACCUUGCACCUCUGUUGCUUCCCUCUCCUGGACCGGCUCUGUAUCCUCUUGUGGUGCUACCGUGUCUUGGUAGCGUGACUGCACAGCUCCUUGUCCGGUUUAGUAGAGCCCGGUCCAUUACAUCUUUCCUCACCUUCUCCGGCAAUCUAAGAGUAUACCGGUCUAAAUUCUCCCCUGGUACCACUAAUGAGUGACCGGUCGAAUGUGACCUGAAUUUGCUUAACAUCUUUGGUCUCUUCAGAGAAAAAGACCUCGGCGGCCGGUUCACCGCGUUGAAACUCAAAUUUCGUUUAACUUCUGGUUUUACAGAGGUCUCCUCUUGCUGUGACAUCAAAUUCUCAUCUACAUCUAUUUGAAUCGUAACUUCGUUAUUUUGCUGUGUAUUCUCCUGUUCUUGCCCCAAUUCCCGGUUCACCUCAGGAGUUUGAACCGGCACCGGUUCAUCAGGUUUAGGAGUAAGAUCAGCUCGGCAAACAGGGCAAGUUACAUGAGAUUUGAGCCAAGCAUCGAUGCAUUCAGGAUGAAAAACGUGAUCACACUUAGGGAUCAAACGCAACAUUUCAUCAUCUUCAAAUUCGUUCAGACACACGGCACACUCCAAAGCUCCCUUCCCAAUAUGAUGAUCCUUUACUUCGACGUAAGUAAAGGUAGGAAAAGUCUCGAUGACGGAAUCUUCAAGUCCUCGAGUAGCAGCAGCAGUACGCCGUCGCAUGGAGAAGGUUUGACCGAUGCUUCCGUUAACUGCACCGCGGUUGCGUAUGUAAAUUGAGAAGAAGGCAAUGAAAAAAAGAGCAGCAAUAAGUAUCACUAUGAUAAUUGCCAUAGCAGGACUGACACUCGGGUACUCGAACCGAUUCUCGGAAUCAGGGGAAUUUGAUGGCUGAGCUGACGCCGGACAUAGUAAUACUAAUAGGAGGAGAUUAACGGAAAGAGCUUUAAAAUUAACCAUGGCAGCUUUUGGUGGGAAUUUUCGCCGGCCGGAGAAGGCAGAGUAAUGAAUCUAGGGAAGUGAGUAUUUUGGAUUUAUAUAUAAAAAAGGAAACAGAGGAAAGAGUUUUUUCUAUUGAGUCUGAA